Molecule: ribosomal RNA, 464 nt
Filed under: uncultured bacterium
Lineage: Bacteria
Description: partial 16S ribosomal RNA
Rfam family: Bacterial small subunit ribosomal RNA
Source: RNAcentral
ACGAACGCUGGCGGCGUGCUUAACACAUGCAAGUCGAACGGAAAGGCCCCUUUGGGGGUACUCGAGUGGCGACCGGGUGAGUAACACGUGAGUAACCUGCCCUUGACUUCGGGAUAACUUCAGGAAACUGGGGCUAAUACCGGAUAGGAAUCCUUGCUGCAUGGUGGGGGUUGGAAAGCUUCGGCGGUUUUGGAUGGACUCGCGGCUUAUCAGCUUGUUGGUGGGGUAGUGGCUUACCAAGGCUUUGACGGGUAGCCGGCCUGAGAGGGCGACCGGCCACAUUGGGACUGAGAUACGGCCCAGACUCCUACGGGAGGCAGCAGUGGGGAAUAUUGCACAAUGGGCGGAAGCCUGAUGCAGCAACGCCGCGUGCGGGAUGACGGCCUUCGGGUUGGAAACCGCUUUCAGCAGGGGCGAAGCUUGUGGUGACGGUACCUGCAGAAGAAGCACCGGCUAACUACGUG